Molecule: long non-coding RNA, 734 nt
Organism: Prunus dulcis (almond)
Lineage: Eukaryota; Viridiplantae; Streptophyta; Magnoliopsida; Rosales; Rosaceae
Exons: 2
Source: RefSeq, a predicted model, not a curated record
AUGUGUGUGUAUAUAAUAUUUGUACAUGUUGUGUGUGUCCAACUUCCAAGAGCCAGACCAGCCAUGUGAGAACCAUGAAGAGAGGAAGAGAGAGCUGAGCUGCAAGUUGCAACCUUAGAAUGUCUCGGACUUUGGAGCCCUCUGUGUUGUGUGCCCAGAAAGUGUUUACCUUUGUGUAACAAAUGUAACAAGCUUUGGGAUUGGAUUGGAUUGGAUUGUACUAUAAAGAAAAGGAGGUGAGUGGUGGUAAUGUAGAACCUGGCAGUGCAGUGCCAAAAAGGAUGUCAGUGUCAGAUUGCAGAGAGUCUCUAAGAAAUGUGGUAGGACUUUGUCAUAGAGCUGCAAAGUCACGUGACAGCCAUGUGACCAUUGAAGAGAAACCAUGAUGUUCUUGGAGGAAAUUUGGAUAUGUGAUCCUCUCCUUAUCUCUUUCAGCCUCUGCUGCUUCUCUUAUCCAUCUUUCUUGAAAUAAGUUUAUCUCAGUUCUCAAGUUUGCACAAUGUCACAUUCAUAUUGUGUACUGGCACCACAAACCUAGUUGAUCUUUCUUGUUUUUGCUUUUGUUUUCAUUAUUUUCUUGAUUGAAACAAGUGCUGGUUAAAAUUUGGCAUUGGUGAUAAGGUGUAGGGUGCUUGCUCCUGGGAACUUAGAAUUAAUGUCUCCUCAGAUUGUAAGAGUACGGAUAAAUAAACUAAGCAAAUUUCAGACAAAUAAUCAUAAGUGUCAGAACCAUU